Molecule: ribosomal RNA, 492 nt
Filed under: uncultured bacterium
Lineage: Bacteria
Description: partial 16S ribosomal RNA
Rfam family: Bacterial small subunit ribosomal RNA
Source: RNAcentral
AGUGAACGCUGGCGGUAGGCCUAACACAUGCCAGUCGAACGGCAGCACAGUAAGAGCUUGCUCUUACGGGUGGCGAGUGGCGGACGGGUGAGGAAUACAUCGGAAUCUACUUUUUCGUGGGGGAUAACGUAGGGAAACUUACGCUAAUACCGCAUACGACCUACGGGUGAAAGCAGGGGAUCUUCGGACCUUGCGCGAUUGAAUGAGCCGAUGUCGGAUUAGCUAGUUGGCGGGGUAAAGGCCCACCAAGGCGACGAUCCGUAGCUGGUCUGAGAGGAUGAUCAGACACACUGGAACUGAGACACGGUCCAGACUCCUACGGGAGGCAGCAGUGGGGAAUAUUGGACAAUGGGCGCAAGCCUGAUCCAGCCAUACCGCGUGGGUGAAGAAGGCCUUCGGGUUGUAAAGCCCUUUUGUUGGGAAAGAAAAGCAGCAGGUUAAUACCCCGCUGUUCCGACGGUACCCAAAGAAUAAGCACCGGCUAACUUCGUG